UAGGGUGCAGCUCAGUGGUGCAGUGCUUGCCUCGCAUGCAAGGGGCCCUGGGUUCUAUCCCCAGCACCAUGC
This 72-nucleotide transfer RNA is filed under the name Cavia porcellus (domestic guinea pig). It matches the Rfam family "tRNA". Rfam says of the family: Transfer RNA (tRNA) molecules are approximately 80 nucleotides in length. Their secondary structure includes four short double-helical elements and three loops (D, anti-codon, and T loops). Further hydrogen bonds mediate the characteristic L-shaped molecular structure. tRNAs have two regions of fundamental functional importance: the anti-codon, which is responsible for specific mRNA codon recognition, and the 3' end, to which the tRNAs corresponding amino acid is attached (by aminoacyl-tRNA synthetases). tRNAs cope with the degeneracy of the genetic code in two manners: having more than one tRNA (with a specific anti-codon) for a particular amino acid; and 'wobble' base-pairing, i.e. permitting non-standard base-pairing at the 3rd anti-codon position. Lineage: Eukaryota; Metazoa; Chordata; Mammalia; Rodentia; Caviidae. The record is from Rfam by way of RNAcentral.